UACGUAGGGACCAAGCGUUGUCCGGAUUUAUUGGGCGUAAAGAGCGUGUAGGCGGCCAUACAGGUCAGCUGUGAAAACUCGAGGCUCAACCUCGAGACGUCGGUUGAAACCGUAUGGCUAGAGUCCGGAAGAGGAGAGUGGAAUUCCCGGUGUAGCGGUGAAAUGCGCAGAUAUCGGGAAGAACACCCGUGGCGAAGGCGGCUCUCUGGGACGGUACUGACGCUGAGACGCGAAAGCGUGGGGAGCGAACAGG
Molecule: ribosomal RNA, 253 nt
Filed under: uncultured bacterium
Lineage: Bacteria
Description: partial 16S ribosomal RNA
Rfam family: Bacterial small subunit ribosomal RNA
Source: RNAcentral